RNAcentral lists this transfer RNA (74 nucleotides) under Fidelibacterota bacterium. Its description in RNAcentral is "tRNA-Arg". It matches the Rfam family "tRNA". From Rfam's summary of the family: Transfer RNA (tRNA) molecules are approximately 80 nucleotides in length. Their secondary structure includes four short double-helical elements and three loops (D, anti-codon, and T loops). Lineage: Bacteria; Pseudomonadati; Fidelibacterota. The record is from RNAcentral.
GCGCCCGUAGGCCAACUGGAUAGACCGUCAGGCUACGGACCUGAAUGUUGAGGGUUCGAAUCCUUCCGGGCGUA